This 322-nucleotide ribosomal RNA is filed under the name uncultured eukaryote. RNAcentral's name for it is "partial 18S ribosomal RNA". It matches the Rfam family "Eukaryotic small subunit ribosomal RNA", at positions 1470 to 1796 of the family's 1831-position model. The record is from RNAcentral.
CCCUUAGAUGUUCUGGGCCGCACGCGUGCUACACUGAGUGGAUCAGCGGGUCAGGUUACGCGAGAGCGUUUCCUAAUCUUCAAAUCCGCUCGUGAUGGGGAUUGACGGUUGCAAUUUUCCGUCAUGAACGAGGAAUACCUUGUAAGCGCGGGUCAUCAUCCCGCGCUGAAUACGUCCCUGCCCUUUGUACACACCGCCCGUCGCUCCUACCGAUUGAGUGGUCCGGUGAGGCUUUGGGAUCAAAGCGAAAAGAGCGUUUCGCUCCUUUUGCUGGGAGAACUCAGUCGAACCUUAUCAUUUAGAGGAAGGAGAAGUCGUAACA